RNAcentral lists this non-coding RNA (212 nucleotides) under Corchorus olitorius. RNAcentral describes it as "Eukaryotic large subunit ribosomal RNA". It matches the Rfam family "Eukaryotic large subunit ribosomal RNA", at positions 665 to 879 of the family's 3401-position model. The record is from Rfam by way of RNAcentral. Lineage: Eukaryota; Viridiplantae; Streptophyta; Magnoliopsida; Malvales; Malvaceae.
ACCAAGGAGUCUGACAUGUGUGCGAGUCAACGGGCUAGAAAACCCGUAAGGCGUAAGGAAGCUGAUUGGCGGGAUCCCUCACGGGUGCACCGCCGACCGACCUUGAUCUUCUGAGAAGGGUUCGAGUGAGAGCAUGCCUGUCGGGACCCGAAGAUGGUGAACUAUGCCUGAGCGGGGCGAAGCCAGAGGAAACUCGUGGUGGACGGCCCGCA